Peromyscus maniculatus bairdii (prairie deer mouse) is the source of this 394-nucleotide long non-coding RNA. RefSeq lists it as uncharacterized. Lineage: Eukaryota; Metazoa; Chordata; Mammalia; Rodentia; Cricetidae. The record is from RefSeq and is a predicted model, not a curated record.
UUAAAUUGCACUAAGCUACCUACAAAGCUCACCUCAGUUCUUCUGCUGAUGCCAAUGACAUCUUCAACUCUGGAAAUUGCAUAAGAGUGCUGAUGUGACUGGAAGACAGCCAUCAGAUCACUAUCGUCACAUCCUGAAUGGACUUGUGCUGAGACCAUGAGAUAUAAAUAGAAUGCUAUGAUAUUCUCAAGAAUCCACCAUGAUCAUCCAGUAAAGCCCCAGGAUGGAAUGAUCUUCUGGAUGGAGUUUGUCAUGAGCAACAAAGGAACUACAUACCCUCGGGUGACAACACAUGUAGUCAACUGGUUCUAAUACCACUCUGGAUGGGUUUGGGUUCCUGACGGCCUGUGGUGACUGUGAAAUCCGUUAUAAUAAAAAUGUUGCGUAUUUAAAA